This 1950-nucleotide long non-coding RNA is filed under the name Oryza brachyantha (malo sina). RNAcentral's name for it is "long non-coding RNA (OBRA_LNC000313)". The record is from RNAcentral. Lineage: Eukaryota; Viridiplantae; Streptophyta; Magnoliopsida; Poales; Poaceae.
AAUCAUCCAUUGAUGAUCAACUGAUCAAGAUCAGCAUGGCUAGGACUGAGUCGGUGAAAUAGUGAGAAACUAAUUUAGUGAAAUAAUCCUCAGUCUUUGAGCUAUGGAGUCCUCAGUCUUUGAGCUAUUGAGCUCCAAUAGAAAUACGUAUACAAUUAGUACUCCUACAAGCUUGUCAUGUGCCUCUAGCUUCUGUCUGACCACUGGUUUUCUCGACAAGAUAACUGGCCAGCUACUCAGCGAAAUGCAGCUAUCAUUAUUGGCAUUUGUUUUGUAGAUGACAUUUGCCUAUACAGUGUAAAGAACCCAUGCUCAUCUAGUGCUGUUUGUUAAAUUAUAAUUAAUAUACCUUUCUCUAAACUUUUCCUGCCCUGUGUAUAGAGGACCGCUGCUGGGCUGGCACCGGCAAGUACUCCCUCCGGUCAAAAAAAAAAUUAUCGUUUAGGACAAGAUUUUAUCAAUCUUCUAAGAUUUUAUUAAACUUCUAAAAUUCCGAUAAACAAUUAUAUCUUAAAUUCUUAGUUAAAAUACAAAACGGAUUAUAUGCAUAGAUUAUACUCGAAAAAUACUAUCAUACUAUCAUAAACAUAUUAGAUUUUAUAAAUUUAUUUUAACAUAAAAUUGCUUGUUUAAAUUUUAUAAGUUUCAUCAAAUCUUAUCCUAAACGACAAAUAUUUUUUACUGGAGAGAGUAUUAGAUGCCUCAAAAAUCUGCCGAUCACAUCUUCGUUGGAUGGGUGACGCAUCCUCAACGCAACAACUCGAUCAGUUAACGUGGACACCCGUUUGUCCAACCUCUUUAAUGUGCUUUCGAGAUUGAGUUCAAUGAGGACGUAUGUGACCAGACCACCCUAGUGACUGCCUCCUCGACUUCUUUAUUAAAAUUCUCUACAAUUGUUCGUAGUUGCUCUUGACUGACACAAUCCUUGAAAUUAUGAGAAAUCUUAUCAUCAUCAUCACCUACCAUUGUAAACACAAAAUUAAAAUAACAAUAAACAAUGAAGGUUAUCUCUAAUAAUCUACUAUACGGGUGCAGUGGUGCCUCUCCACAACUUAGCAAGAUGGAGCACCUUAACAAGCUCUAGGUUGUACGCCACUAGUUUCUCACUUUGUCAUACUCCAAUCAAUCAAUAGUAUCUAUUAGCGUUUUCUGUAACUUCGUAUAGAAAGGUGUUUCUUCUUUGAAUGGGUUGACAUGGAAAACCAUAAGUUCGACCCUAACCUUUACUUCACCCAUGGGAGGUGGUUUUUCCAUGGAGAAUCACUCAAAUGAUAUGCGAGGCUAAAGGAGGAAAAAGAGCAACAUGCAAAGCCGAAUGCCAUGACUGGAGGGUGCAACCUCGCAUGCUACCACCAUGGCUGGAACGCCUCUUGUGUUCAUGUGGCAACCGUUGCAUGGUCUUCGGGUCCAUGAAACAAAAGAUUUUGGGUCAAAGGUUCUUUGCUUGUUCAACCAUUGUAGAUGACGGUUUUAUGGUAACUUUGCAAACCAUCAAAUUAUUGUGCCUAUAUUUUGUUCUCCAUAUACAAAUUUUUUAUUCCACUUCAGGAACCCUUUAGUAUGUGUGAUUUCACAGAAUGGAUAGACAUGAAGAAAUCAAGAUACCUGCCUGUGGAAGAGCCUAAAACUAUUGAGCAAUACAACCGCUCUAAAUUGGAGUUCAAGCAAAGCCGUGCCUCGUCUAGCAGUGGGGGAGGCAAGACUGACGAGACUGGCUCAUCUACCGUAGUUCACAUCUACAUUAUUCGUAUUGUUACUCCAUAUAUGUCCUCGUCAUGUAGAACCAUUAGUAAUUUUUAGUAUGCUUUCGUAAAAAGUUAAACUUAAUCAUUUGGGAUGAAUUCAUCUUGUACUAUUAUUGCUGAGUUUUCACAAACAACUAUCUCAACUAUUUGUUCCUCAAUUUCAUAAAACUAUAAAAAGUUUUUAUACCUUCACUUUGUAUCCUCG